RNAcentral lists this ribosomal RNA (855 nucleotides) under uncultured bacterium. RNAcentral's name for it is "bacterial SSU rRNA". It matches the Rfam family "Bacterial small subunit ribosomal RNA", at positions 56 to 920 of the family's 1533-position model. The record is from RNAcentral.
UGCAAGUCGACGGCAGCACGGGUGCUUGCACCUGGUGGCGAGUGGCGAACGGGUGAGUAAUACAUCGGAACAUGUCCUGUAGUGGGGGAUAGCCCGGCGAAAGCCGGAUUAAUACCGCAUACGAUCUACGGAUGAAAGCGGGGGACCUUCGGGCCUCGCGCUAUAGGGUUGGCCGAUGGCUGAUUAGCUAGUUGGUGGGGUAAAGGCCCACCAAGGCGACGAUCAGUAGCUGGUCUGAGAGGACGACCAGCCACACUGGGACUGAGACACGGCCCAGACUCCUACGGGAGGCAGCAGUGGGGAAUUUUGGACAAUGGGCGAAAGCCUGAUCCAGCAAUGCCGCGUGUGUGAAGAAGGCCUUCGGGUUGUAAAGCACUUUUGUCCGGAAAGAAAUCCUGAGGGCUAAUAUCCUUCGGGGAUGACGGUACCGGAAGAAUAAGCACCGGCUAACUACGUGCCAGCAGCCGCGGUAAUACGUAGGGUGCGAGCGUUAAUCGGAAUUACUGGGCGUAAAGCGUGCGCAGGCGGUUUGUUAAGACCGAUGUGAAAUCCCCGGGCUCAACCUGGGAACUGCAUUGGUGACUGGCAAGCUAGAGUAUGGCAGAGGGGGUAGAAUUCCACGUGUAGCAGUGAAAUGCGUAGAGAUGUGGAGGAAUACCGAUGGCGAAGGCAGCCCCCUGGGCCAAUACUGACGCUCAUGCACGAAAGCGGUGGGGGAGCAAACAGGAUAGAUACCCUGGUAGUCCACGCCCUAAACGAUGUCACUAGUGUGGGGAUUCAUUUCUAGUACGUAGCUACGCUUGAGUGACGCUGGGGGAGUACGUCGCAGAUUAAAACUCAAGGAUUGACGGGACC